AGGCACUACGGUGCUGAAGCGACAAAUGCCCUGCUUCCAGGAAAAGCCUCUAAGCAUCAGGUAACAUCAAAUCGUACCCCAAACCGACACAGGUGGUCAGGUAGAGAAUACCAAGGCGCUUGAGAGAACUCGGGUGAAGGAACUAGGCAAAAUGGUGCCGUAACUUCGGGAGAAGGCACGCUGAUAUGUAGGUGAAGCGACUUGCUCGUGGAGCUGAAAUCAGUCGAAGAUACCAGCUGGCUGCAACUGUUUAUUAAAAACACAGCACUGUGCAAACACGAAAGUGGACGUAUACGGUGUGACGCCUGCCCGGUGCCGGAAGGUUAAUUGAUGGGGUUAGCGGCAACGCGAAGCUCUUGAUCGAAGCCCCGGUAAACGGCGGCCGUAACUAUAACGGUCCUAAGGUAGCGAAAUUCCUUGUCGGGUAAGUUCCGACCUGCACGAAUGGCGUAAUGAUGGCCAGGCUGUCUCCACCCGAGACUCAGUGAAAUUGAACUCGCUGUGAAGAUGCAGUGUACCCGCGGCAAGACGGAAAGACCCCGUGAACCUUUACUAUAGCUUGACACUGAACAUUGAGCCUUGAUGUGUAGGAUAGGUGGGAGGCUUUGAAGUGUGGACGCCAGUCUGCAUGGAGCCGACCUUGAAAUACCACCCUUUAAUGUUUGAUGUUCUAACGUUGGCCCGUAAUCCGGGUUGCGGACAGUGUCUGGUGGGUAGUUUGACUGGGGCGGUCUCCUCCUAAAGAGUAACGGAGGAGCACGAAGGUUGGCUAAUCCUGGUCGGACAUCAGGAGGUUAGUGCAAUGGCAUAAGCCAGCUUGACUGCGAGCGUGACGGCGCGAGCAGGUGCGAAAGCAGGUCAUAGUGAUCCGGUGGUUCUGAAUGGAAGGGCCAUCGCUCAACGGAUAAAAGGUACUCCGGGGAUAACAGGCUGAUACCGCCCAAGAGUUCAUAUCGACGGCGGUGUUUGGCACCUCGAUGUCGGCUCAUCACAUCCUGGGGCUGAAGUAGGUCCCAAGGGUAUGGCUGUUCGCCAUUUAAAGUGGUACGCGAGCUGGGUUUAGAACGUCGUGAGACAGUUCGGUCCCUAUCUGCCGUGGGCGCUGGAGAACUGAGGGGGGCUGCUCCUAGUACGAGAGGACCGGAGUGGACGCAUCACUGGUGUUCGGGUUGUCAUGCCAAUGGCACUGCCCGGUAGCUAAAUGCGGAAGAGAUAAGUGCUGAAAGCAUCUAAGCACGAAACUUGCCCCGAGAUGAGUUCUCCCUGACUCCUUGAGAGUCCUGAAGGAACGUUGAAGACGACGACGUUGAUAGGCCGGGUGUGUAAGCGCAGCGAUGCGUUGAGCUAACCGGUACUAAUGAACCGUGAGGCUUAACCUUACAACGCCGAAG
This 1391-nucleotide ribosomal RNA is filed under the name Escherichia coli. RNAcentral's name for it is "partial 23S ribosomal RNA". It matches the Rfam family "Bacterial large subunit ribosomal RNA", at positions 1572 to 2925 of the family's 2925-position model. The record is from RNAcentral. Lineage: Bacteria; Pseudomonadati; Pseudomonadota; Gammaproteobacteria; Enterobacterales; Enterobacteriaceae.